AACCAUUAAGAUUGUUGCCCCGCUAUUGCAGUACGGUUAGGAAGUGUGCCAGGAAGUGAGGCUUCUUUUCUUCUUCCUCAAAACCUUGAUAAACGAGUUGCAGGGAUUUUAUUCUAGGAGAAGGGAGAUUGAAGAGUGCUACCCUCUCUCACCUGGGAGCUGGGAUCUUGCAGGCGUAGUUUUCUCUUCCCAUCACUCCAUUGGAUCUCUCGUCCCUGAGAUCUCUCCUAACUGGUACAAGCCCUGAUUCCUGCUCUAUGAGACCAUCUUUAAAGUGCCUUUUUACCUAGCACACUAGGAAAAAUGAUGGAAGAAAAGAUGCCAUUAGUUGAGCCACAAAAGCAUACAAAAGUUACGGAGAAAAGUCACCUACGGAUCAAUGAUUUACCAAAUUGGAUGAGCUAUCACCAUGUGCCUUAUGCGAGGAUGGAUUUUCUUCUUCUUCGGGGAGUCAUUUUGUUGAUGGGCUUGUUCAUAUGCUUUUUCAUCCCAAACACAAAGAAAAUACAAGAAGACCAGUACGUUGAGAACGCAUGGAAUAAACACUGGUUUUGGAGAAGAUUAAUAUCAUGGACAAGAAUGGGGGAGAAGAGGUCUUGUUUUAGGGGAGCAACAUCUCUCUCUAUGGUGAAUGGCAUGACAUAUCUCUUUCGCCUUUUAUGCUCUGAGUUUUGGUCUUUUUUAGGAAUGCCCUAUGGAAUGUAAUUGGGACGCUCAUGAAUAGUGGCUGUUGUAACAUGUUGAUGACUAGAGUGAUGAUUCAACUAUAACUAUAUAUGGUGUGCCAUUUUUAAGGAUGGAUUUUUCUUUGCGGAAUUCGUACAGAGAAAAUAGCGGAACACUGGUUCGCUGACAACUUGUGGAAAAAACACUAGUACUGUAAAAGAUUGGUAGUUGAUGCCAAUAAGAUCAUGGAGGAGCAUGGGGGAGUGGAUAUCGGGGGAGGGGCAAAGGGGACAUAAUCUCCAGAUCCUCCUUUUAAGGAGACACUUUGGGAGCAUCGGCAAGACUCAAGGGAUAGGGUUGGAAGGAAGUUGAAGAUAGGUAAAAAGAUUUUGUGCAAUUUUCUUUUUUAUCAUAUUUAUAAGGAAGAAAUUGUUCAUAGAUACGUAGUGUUGUGCGGUGGCAAUAUUACUUAGACAUGGAUUUAUUAGGUAUUGCUCAUGAGAUUGAAAAAAACUUCUUUCGGGAUUGAUGACUCUUCUAUUAAAGGAGGGUCAUCUCCCUGUCUGGUUUUCCUGGUUUGCUGAUUCUCCUCAGCCUUCUUAUUUAUUUGUGAUUUUUUGCACAUUAGUGUUCUGCUUUUAUUUUAAUGAUUGUGAGCUAACUGAUUUUAUGUUUCUAAUUUUGGGCUAAUUAUUUGUAAUUUUGAGCUUUUAUUUCAAUAUGACCAGUACUAUAGAAACUGGAACACAAAAAUGAUCUUCAUCUCCUCUUUUUCUUGGGUGUUGUUCUAUCACUUAACCUGCAGAUCUAGUACUCAUUUCUUUUCUUUUUUCACUCUCCCUCUUGCUCCUUGAUCUCUUGCGGCAUGACUUCAUUUUCCUCCCGACCUAUAUAUCGAUUAUCUAUUCAUAGCAUCUCCAAUAUUCAUACUAUCUUCUAUGGAAGACUCCAUCUGAAGCUAAUCAGCUAUUACCAUAAAUCUAAUUGGAUAUGUUUAGGAACCCUCAGUCUCCAUGAAGUUACACCAGACUCAUCAAACAACUACUCUUUGAAUCCAGCCUGUAGUAAUUAGUGUUAGAAUGACAGGAAGCGUUUUAUAGAUGCAACUCUCACUAAGAAACUUGUUGCUCAAUCCCUCAAACUAUUCUUAUAGGAACCUAUAUGAUUGUUUUUUUUUUUUUUUUUUUUGUUUUUAAGUCCUUUGAUCCUUCUAUAGCUCUUUGAAACUAGGAAACCCUAACCCACAAAUUGUUUAAGUUAAUUUUUUUAGAACCGUGGCUUGAGAAGAUACAUAGGCAUUGCUAGAGAAAUAACAAAUUAGCAAACGUGCUGAACAAAUAGACAGUAAGGAAAAAAGAAAUGGUGGAGAUAGCUGCAGAGACUUUCAGAGGUGAACAGUCUCUUUUGACUUUUGCAUCCAUGCUUUAGUUUAAGCAAGACUAGUGCUUCGUUUUAGAUACAAUAUGCAUCUGAACUUAUGAAAACUGUGUUAGAGUUCAUAAAUUGCAGGUUAGGAGGGAUUGGGGAGAUACUCAAUUUACCUUCAUUGCAAUGAAAUACGUCCCCUAGAUAUUUGAUUAUCACAGGUUAUGUAUUAGUUAAUGCUGCGGCUGCCUUUUCCCCCUUAUAUAUCCUAAUUUGGUGAAAACAAACUUAGAAACUAGAUCAAAGAGGGACAGGAUCAUUAUCCAAAACUUUAAAUUCCAAUGAUGCCUUCAUUAUAUGGAUUCUCUAGGAACUUGUUUAUGCAAUAUUGUGGCUUAGGCAGCUGCUUGGUCUUACACAAGUCCUAUUUAACUAAAGCAUGCCUGCAGAAGUAGUAAAGCACAACUUAAUGCAACUUUCAAUUUCUACAAGGGUGAACAUGGCACCUCCAUCACCAAUGUAUGUGUAACAAGUUAAUAACUUAAACAUCUAUGUAAGAAACUUACAUUUGUUGAGUUCUAUCUGAUGUAAUUACAUUUUACUCUAGUAUGACCUCAAAUAGAGCUGUUUGGAUGGCAAAGAUUCAUGUAACCAACUCAUUUGGUUGGGAAUAUGCUAAGUUGUUGUUUGUUGUCGUAGCUGAUUGGGGGUUCCUGCUGAUGAGUUCUUAGAGGCAUUGCUUAUAGCAAUCUGAUGCAUCUGUGAUCCUCAUUAAGUAUUUUGAAAAGGUGUUUCGCAAUGCAAUUAACAUGGCAAGGAUGGUUGAAGACCAUCACAAUCACUACACAUGCGAACAAAGAUUUGAAGAAUUCACUUCAGUUGUAUAAGAAGAGAAACAAUGUAACUCUUGAACAUGCCAUAGUCAAGGAAACUUCAGGAAACCACAUUGAAGCAAGCGCAAGGUCUCUCAUUUACGGGUUGAUGAAAGCUAAAAAUUGUGGAUGGCAGAUCAAGGAAGUUUGGAGCAAUUUUUUAAACAUGGAAUCGAAUAUCUGAUUAUUUUUUGCACAUUCCCAAAUUGGUCUUAAAAACCUUAGAAUCGGUCAUUUUAGAAUGAUCUGAAUUGUGAUUGAUCACACCCGUCCAAUUCAACCAAGGAUUUUAAAUCAGUUCGUAGUAA
Molecule: long non-coding RNA, 3211 nt
Organism: Macadamia integrifolia
Lineage: Eukaryota; Viridiplantae; Streptophyta; Magnoliopsida; Proteales; Proteaceae
Exons: 8
Source: RefSeq, a predicted model, not a curated record